CGCGGAGUGGUGCGAUGCGCGGGGAGGAGGUUCCCCGGGGUGAUGCACGGGACGAUGCUGGUGCAGCGGGAUGCGAUGCGCGGGGGAGGGAUGAGAUGCGCAGAGGGGAGUGCCGUUUUUGGGAGGAGUGCGGAGAGGGGAGCGUUUUGUUCAGGGGGCGCAGGGAUGGAACGGGGGCUGCGGUACCAAAGUCAGCGUGUGGACGGCGGCGCUAGAGAACGAGGAUGAGCAGGGAGUCUGUGCCCGGUGCCCCUCACCCUGGCCUUGGGCACCACUGAACAGAGUCUGCUCCAUCCUGACACCACCCUGCCGUACUGAUCAUCGAUCACAUCCCUCUCAGCUUCUCUUCUCCGCUCAGCAGCCCCAGCUCUCUCAGUGUCUCCUCAGCACAAAGAUGCUCCAGACAAGAAAGCAGAAGCUCUCUUCUUUCCCAGUGCCACCAGCAACACCUUCCUUUCCUUGCCCAUCCCCACCAGAGGAACGUUUCUGAUUUUUGCCAGGGCUUGUGUCUCAAGACCCCUCUUCAUGGGGAUACCACCCGUCCCAAGGCACCCACGGUGUGUCAGGCUCUGCUGCAGCCCCAUCUUGCAGCAAGGUCUCUUCAGAACCAGAAACCCCAUAACCUGGUCUUCCAAGCGCUGGGCACAGACCAUGGCUUGUCUGAACCCUCGGAGACAGACAUGUCCAGCCAUUGCCCCUGCUCCAGGACAGGCAAAGGACACCCUGUGGGUGGGUGUAAGAGCUGGUCUGAAGAACAAUAUUUGCCUGAACUUCACCAUCAGGGACCUGAAUUGGACAACAACUUGGAGAGAGGCCUGGGGAGAAGAAUUGUGUUGCACAGGUCUAUCCAACCCAGGGGUUCCCAGUAACAAUUGCUGCUGUGUGGACUUCACCUGCUGCCUCAGACAAACUUGCCUCCACCUCCUAAAAGAAAUUGUGUUACAUGGUCUCUUCGACCUGGAGACAAUAGCUGCUGUCCAGAAGAUGGACUCUCACCUGCUGCUUCAGCCAAACGUGCCCCCCACCUCCUGUUACUAAGGCCAACAAAGAAAAGCAUGCCCAGAAGCUCACCGAGGGUCUUGAGGUCACCCAAGGGACCAGAAAGAGACCCCUGAAUAUGAGGACAUGCAGCUGCAGAUGGGUCUUGUCAAGCAAAGUGGUGAUUCUUUGAGCCUGUGCAGUUAAGCCUGGAUUGUGAAACAAAGGCAGAGAUUGGCCCCAAUGCAUGGAAGUGAGGGGGGAUGAAGAAGCAUAAAUGAUAGUUCCCGACUGAACAUUGUAGAGACCUCUCCACCAAAGGAUCCCAGAUCACGAUGGAGGACUCUUCUUACAGGACCCAAGACCAGACAGACACCUCUGGGACUCAUUUGGUGGUAGCUAAAUCAUCUUUCCCCCUUUUAUUUUUCUUUCCCCUUCUCUCUACUUUCUCUGUCACGUGCUGCUUUACAGCCAAAAUAAUAAAGUAACGCUGAUUCAAUUAUAA
Long non-coding RNA from Columba livia (rock pigeon), 1483 nucleotides. RefSeq lists it as uncharacterized. The record is from RefSeq and is a predicted model, not a curated record. Lineage: Eukaryota; Metazoa; Chordata; Aves; Columbiformes; Columbidae. The transcript has 4 exons.